Molecule: ribosomal RNA, 208 nt
Filed under: uncultured Desulfobacterium sp.
Lineage: Bacteria; Pseudomonadati; Thermodesulfobacteriota; Desulfobacteria; Desulfobacterales; Desulfobacteriaceae
Description: partial 16S ribosomal RNA
Rfam family: Bacterial small subunit ribosomal RNA
Source: RNAcentral
UGGGAUGACGUCAAAUCAUCAUGCCCCUUAUGGCCCAGGGCUACACACGUGCUACAAUGGGCGGUACAAAGGGUAGCGAUCCCGCGAGGAGGAGCCAAUCCCAAAAACCGUCCCAAGUUCGGAUUGGAGUCUGCAACUCGACUCCAUGAAGUUGGAAUCGCUAGUAAUCGCGGAUCAGCAUGCCGCGGUGAAUACGUUCCCGGGCCUU